UUUUGUUGCACGUCUGAAAGAAACUUCAAAAGAAUUUGAUGUUUUUUUAGAUCAAGUGAUCGAUGAACAUAUGACUUUGGGAAAUAGUAAUGAUGAAAAACUAGUUGAUAAUCACAAAAAGAAUUUUUUGCAUAUACUGCUUCAACUUCAACAAAGUAACUCACUUGACUUUGAAUUCACACGGGAUAAUAUGAAAGCAAUUUUACUGGUUAUUCUCUAUACUUUCCUCUUAUUAUUAGUACAUUUUUUUUGUGGUUAUUUAUAAACUUUCAUCUUUUUUUCCAGGACAUGUUUGUUGCAGGGAUUGACACAACUUCGACAACACUUGAAUGGACGAUGGCGGAGUUAAUGAGAAACCAAAAUAUACUAAAAAAAGCCCAAGAUGAGGUACGAAGUGUGGUGGGGAAGAAAUCAAAGGUAGAAGGUAAUGACGUAAAUAUGAUGAACUACUUGAAAUGCACAAUUAAAGAGAGUUUAAGAUUGCAUCCUCCUGCUCCUCUCUUGGUUCCUCGAGAAACAUCUAAAGCUAUCAAUUUGGGUGGCUAUGAUAUUCCUCCCAAAACAAGUGUGAUUAUCAACGCAAUAAAAAUUCAAAAAGAUCCCAAUAUAUGGGAUAGGCCAGAAGAGUUCAUGCCAGAGAGGUUUGAAGAGAAUCUGGUGGAUUACAGAAUCCAAGACUUCCAAUUCAUUGCAUUUGGUGGAGGAAGAAGACAAUGUCCUGGAUUGAGAUUUGGGGUUACUUCAAUUGAAUAUAUAUUAGCAAGUCUUUUAUACUGGUUUGAUUGGAGAAUGCUAGAAGGUAAAAGGGGAGAGGAUUUGGACAUGACUGAAACUAAUGGGUUAACUGUUCAUAAGAAAAUUCCUCUUCACCUUGUAGCAAUACCCUACUCCCCUUGAUGUAUGUAACCUUGUGUUAAUUAUUCUGUAAACAUCACUUUUCUUCUUCCGUAUGUAAAAAAGGGAAUAAGUAAGUAAUCAAAAUUUGAGAGGUUUUGAAGUGUUUCUUUUGGCGUUAAACUUAUAUUUGUGAAGAUAUCUAUAAAAAGUAUAUAACUAAUGACCAUUUGUACUGACGAUUAUGAUGAUUAUUAUUAUUAUAUUACCGUUAUUGUUAUUAUUAUUUUAUUACUAUUAUUGUUAACAAUUAGUAAUAAAUGGAUUAAUUUUGUUUGUAAAAUACAAGCCAUUCUAUAUUAUUAUCAUUUGAAUCAAUAUUAAUUUUAUAUCUAAAUCAACUUUUUGCCCUUCACUAAAGCCAUACAUACAUAUCAUUUGAUUAAUUAAUGUUAUAUUUCUAACCAAAUCAACAUCAUCAUCAUUUUUUUGACUUAUUUGUUAAAACAAUGCAUUUCAAGCAAAAAAGAAAUACCUUUAAUAAUUAAUUUUGACUCUAAAAGGAACCUUAUCAUAUCCAAAAUUUCCAACUUCUAUUGUUAUUCUCAUUAUUUUGAUUAUUUACCUUGCGAGUAAAAUAUUUGCCCAUAUCCAAAACAAUUAAGUAUUUUAUUCCCAAAUCCCCAUGCUCAAUUUCUAAUAACUCUAGCAUCUAGAUAUAUGUAUGUGGAAGCCUAUAAAUACUGUGAGAAGCCACUUCAUGCAUCACCAACCACUAAGCAAAAGCAAUGGCAAUCACCUUCUUUGCUCCAUUGAUCUAUGUUCUUGUUUUGCAAUCUUCCUUCUUAAAAAUCAACUCAAGCCCAUACGGCUCGAAUGUGCCAAAAGGUGAUAAGAAUUUGUUAGAGUUACCAUUGAAUCUAGAGUAUUAAGAGGCUAAGUUUUUCUCGUAUGGCUCAUUAGGGUAUGGGUUGGAGAAGGUUGCUCCUAAGUUGAUCGUGGGAGUCCCUGCUCCUAUUGGUGCCAAGAAGGCCAAUCUUGAUCCCAUCACAAAAGAUAUUAUAGAGCAAUUUGCAUAACAGGAAGUUGGACACCUAAGGGGUUGUAUUCACAUCUCUUAGUCUUGCACUUCUUUUAAUUAUUUUGUGUUGAAUUCAUCUUGUUCGAGUUUUGUUCCAUUUUAUUAACUUCUUCGAUUAUUUUAAUAUGUAGGGCAAUUAAGUCGACUGUCAAAGAAUUUCUUAAGUGAAAAUUAGAUUUGAGUGUAAAGUCAUUUGCCAAGGUGAUUAAUAAUGCAUUUGGGAAGAACUUACAGCCUCCUUUUGACCCCUAUGCCAAUAACGUCAAUUACUUUAUUGCCUAUGUAAUUCCUUAUGUUGGACUUAUCCAGUAUGUGGGAGCAAGUCCUAGACUCGAAGGUGCUACCUCAAAAAGGGUAAGUCUCUAAUAUAGAACAAAGGAAGAAAGUAGUAACAUUCAUAAUUUAUAAAUAUUUUGGUCAAAUUAUUCUAUAAUUUUUUCUUUUCCUUGUAAAAUAAGUAUGUAUCCUAUAGAUAAUUAUUGGUUGCAUACAGCUUGUUGCUGGGCUUUUAGGCGUGGAGUAUGACCAAGAUGCUAUAAUAAAAGAGCUUUUAUACGAGAGGUCAAAUUUGAUAAUGAAGUCUUAUGGGAUAAUAGUUGCAGAGUUCACCAAUCGAAUCUCUAAUCUAAGGAACAAGCUUGGUAAAGCAGGGUUGAAAAAUGAAGGCUUUGUGGUUCCUAAAGACCUGGGUGCUGAGGGUAAAAUCAAGGAAAUUCGCUUGCUGCCGACAAAUAUUUAGUUGUCUAUGAUAAGACGUUUAAAGAAAUUCUUAAAAUUGUUUAUGGAAGGGGUAAUGAAGCCACACCUGGUGGUUCCUAUCUAAAGGGAGCUAACGGUGCCAUUGUUAAAUCUUAUUUAUACACUGCAAAUCACUAAAAAUGUAAAACCUGGUAGCUUUAUAUCAUCACCAUCCAUUAAAUAAUUAUCUUUUGUGCAUAAUGUUGUUUUCGGUUGUGAUAACACUAAAUUGAACCUAUAAUUGUGAUGUUUUGUCUCCUCUAUGUAUCUUGCCUUUUGGACUAUAAAUCCUUAUUCAACCAUAUAGCAAUAAAUAUUACCAAUUCUUUUCUUGUAUGAUGCUGACUGAACAGGUAUUUUUUAAUUAUAGACUCUUAUCACAGAGAGAUCGAUCUAUAGAUGUACAACUUGCUAUGUAAAUAGAUUGAAAUAAUCAAUAAACUUAAAAAUAUGCAUAAAUACAUAAGAAUAUCAGAUUUGCAACUCAAAUCACUCAAUCUGCCAUUAACAUUUUCUAAUUUCAUAUAUUAUCAGUAAAGAAAACCAUUCAAGAUUAUUAAAUCAAUUGAGAAUAUUAUGUUACUAAUUAGCUUUUCUAUAAAAAAUAAAAUUUUAUUGAACUAGUAGAAAGAACAUACAAACAAUUGAAAAUUGUGUAACACUCGAAAAUUUUCUUUUUUUGUAAUUUAAGAUUUUAUUUUAAAUGUAAUAAAAUAAUUUUUUGAAUUUUUAAUUUUUAUUUUAAUUUAGAAUAAAAAAUAAAAUAAAAUUAAUAGAGGAUUUAAUUAAAAAUAAUUUUUUUAAAAAGUAAAAAUUUAAAUUAUGAGAAUAUUUUUAAAAGAAAAAUAAAAAAAAAAGCUAAAACGCAAUUUUAGACCACCGUAUUUAUGCGAAUAAUAACAAAAUUUUCUCGCUGCCGAAGAAGUUGACUAACAUAGAGCGAGUAUAUUUCCACAACAAGCUUUUAGUUUCCUCGCUCCAAGCUGCUUAAAUCUUCUAGAUUAACUAUGCUAAAAUUAGAAAAAAUUUAAAAAAAAUUAAUUAACUUUCGAAUCAAAUCUAAAUUCGAAGAGUAGCCUUAGUUCAAUCCUUUAAGAAUUAAAAAAAAAAAUAGAAAGAUUCAUAGUAUUCGAACUUUUGAUCAAUCCUUUUAAAUCGUCGUAAAAUAAAUAUUAAUAAUUAGUGAGAGAUAAAUUAAAACGAUAAAUAAUUAAUGCUUACAGAUUUUGAGAAAACGAACAAGAUUCAUGAUUCUGCAGAAUCAGAUUACUUACCUUUGAAAAUAUUUUCAAGAAGUGAAAUUCACAGGAAUAUAAACUUUCCCGAGCUGCACCAAGCAAGCUCCAUCCACCCAUGAGUAUGCAUGCAGCAUGCUUGAGAUGGUUUGAAGAAUGGUUACUGUGUUUUGGUAAUAUAUACACUGUAGCACCCGGAAAGGAGGAGGAAAAAAAAAAAAGGGGGUCACGUCAGCAGGCCAGGUCAGCAGUCCCGGCCAACCGGGGCCUGCCACGUGGCAAGACCGCGUCACUUCGAAAGGAGCCACGUUGGCGAUCCGCGUGGGUGCGAUCCGACGGUCCAGAUCAAUCGCGCGAUCGGACGGCCCAGAUUCAAUCGCACGGACGGCCCAGAUUCAAUCAAAAAAACGAACGUCCCAGAUUAAAACGAAAUGGACGGCUGAGAUCAAAAGGCAAGGGGUUAUAAAUAGAACCCCCACACCAGACCACAAACCCUAGCCGCCCGCCGCUCGCCGGAGAAGACGAACCAGAGGCCGACCGCCGCCACCCGCCGCCGCACCGGGGAAAUUUUCGACCGCCGAUCGAGGUAAAUUUCAUAUCCCCGACUCGUUUUUUCACGCUGAUUCCUCCUAUGGCCAAAUCGAGGCCGAAAUCCCGGCCAAACGGCCGGAAUACGCGGCCCAAGCCCAGCGGCGCCGCCGCGCCCCCUCUCGAUUUUUGCCUCCGACGAGGCCCUUCCCGGCCUCCGUUCGAUGCAAUUUUUAUAUCACCGUGAUCACCAUUCUUUUCUCUACAGGUUGACCGGAGCCGAAUCACCAAAACAUGAACCUUGCCGGAGAGUCGCCGUACCCGAGAGCGCCGCCGCCGGUAAGCUCCGUUUUUCCGUAAUUUUUUGGCCCCCCGAGGGCCCUAGGGUUGUUUUCUCACAAGGACCGAUGCGAGUGUGGCCGAAUUCGGCCGAAAACGGCCGAAAACAGCCAACCCGAGGCGACUCGCGGCCGCCAGCGGCGGCGCCGUCGCCGGAGCACGGCGGAGCCGCCGUGCUGGAGUUGCGAUUUGGGCCGAAAGAGGCCCUGGGCCUAAUUUGGAUUUUUUUUGGAACACGUGCAGGUACUGUUAGUGUGUUUCAGUUCCCCGGGAAAAAUUCAGAGAAAAUUAGGGACGGCCUGCAGGCGCACUGUGAAUCGUAUUCGGAUCCCAAAAACAAGUAAGGACCCCUCACCCUAUUUCCUAUCACGGUAUUAAAGUUCAAAAUGAUAAAACGGUAUUUCUUGAAUUAACGAAUGUGUGAAAUUGUUUAAGGUGGCUAAUGGAGCCCGAGUCUAGUGUGAUUGGUGAUUUACUGUUAUUUGGCCUGUUUACAGCUUUAAAUGCAAAAUGAGGUUUGAUGUGUUCAUUUUACAGAUUUGUGUGCAUGCACUACGUUUUUAUUAAUUAUGGGUUGAAUGACUGAAAAACUGAUACUGUAUGUUGUCUGUUUGGUAUGAAUUACGAUUUGCUUGUUUGUAUAUGAAUUGAUGAUGCUGACUGAGGAAAAGGAAAAUGAAAGAUUGUGUAAACUGAUAAUUGUAUUAUGGGGGUCAGCCUGACUAGAUAUCCUGGGAGAUGGUGGACGGACCGGGUCCGUAGGGAACCCUACCGGGAUGUGGUCUCACAUGCCGGACGGGGUAUGGAGAUCUUAUGGUUUUGGCGCCCAUACCGGACGGGGUAUGGGGACGGCCCGUUUCACCCUCAUACCGGACGGGGUAUUGAGGUUUAUGAUUUUGGCGCCCAUACCGGACGGGGUAUGGGGACGGCCCGUUUCACCCUCAUACCGGACGGGGUAUUGAGGUUCAUGGUUUUGGCGCCCAUACCGGACGGGGUAUGGGGACGGCCCUGGAAACUGAUUAUGAAUGUUAAAGGUUAACGGGUAGCGGAACCCCUAUGGACCCCCACGGAUACUAGUAGGCUGGUAAAUGAGAAAAAGAUAUGUUGUACAAUGAUUGAAAUUUCAAGGGGCGUGAUAAGUGUUAUGUUUUACAGCUUAUAUUAUUCAAUGAUUAUGAUAAUGUUAUUGUUUUUCUUAUAUUGUUUUCAUAAAUUCCACCGAGGUAAGUGGAGGGUAAAGGUUUUAUCAUAAAUAAAAGGAUUUGUUGUAAAUUAUGCUCCAUUGGUCUUUUGUGUUUUUCUACCCACCUUUACCUCCGUGACGGUGAGAUAUCGUGAUGUUCUUACUGGGCUAGUGUAGCUCACUCCUUAUUUAACCAUUUCAGAUCAGGAAGACAUGGUUCCCGAGCCCGUUCCGCAGGAGGACGACGAAGGGGAUGCCUAGAGACUCUGUAGUCAUACUCAUAGUUUUAUUUUCGAGUUUCUCUCUUAGUUAGUUUAAUCUUUUAUAUUUUAAGUACGUUUUUGGUUUUUCGUGUAAGGGAUGUUAACUGAAAUUUUGAUCUCGCUUCCGCAUUUGAUAUAUUUAAAUACUCAUUUUAUUUUAAUAUUUACGGGGCCGUUACAUACACACAUGUACAUAUAUUUAUUACAGACAAUGUUACCGUUUCUUUUUCUUGAAUAUGAGACGAGGUAAGGAAAUGAUUAUAUAUGUGACAUGUUAUAUACCGUUAUGUAAGUAGUGAAAAUUUCAAGAACGAGUCCAAAUAUUUGACCGUAACGUACAUAUGUUACGUAUUGAAAGGUGCUUAUUAUUCAUCGUACUGGAGUUUAAUAAACCCCUUCUCCCCCAUGUUAACUACUUACCAUUCACCAACGAAAUCUAACAGAUAGACAAUUGAAAAACUUGUAGGAUCAGGUUUCAAUGGUGUAAACUCUUACAUAUGUUACAGAUAAUAUCAACAAGCAAUCAAUAUUUACUCAUAUAUAUAUAUAUGUUGAUAAUUAUCAAUGAUCUAUACAUACACCCUUAUCUUUUUGCUGAAAAAUGUCUUCAUCCCAUUGACCUUCUCCAUCGGAAAAACCAACUACAAAAGGAAAAAAAAAAAAAAUGAAUUACUAAUAUUGACUAAAACAUGCACUGGCUUUUUAAGGAGACUCCGGUCUUGUUUGGCGGCUGCUCUGUCUUUUCUCUCAGAUAUCUUCGUUUGCAAAUUUAGCAUUAUAUAUACAUAUAUAUAUAUGUACAUAUAAUAUACAAAUGUAUAUAUAUACUUGAAUGUUGUGAUAAUUAUAAGCAUCCCCAUUGUUAAGUUUCAAACUUUUAGAUUAAAGUAUAUUGUUUCAAGAACAUAAUUGUUGGAUCAAUUAUGGCAGCAGCUGCAUGGACAAGAAUUUCUCCAUCACUGUUGCCUCUCUUCGAUUUUAUUGUCUCUUGUAAUAUAUCUGUAAUAAAAGUGCGGAAUGAGUAGGUUGCAAGCUGCUGCUAAUCGGUCUGCGAAUAUAGUGUCUAGACGCAUUAUUACUUGUGGUAAAAUAGUCACCGUAACCCAACAGAUAAAGUACAUUCUAUAGUUUGUUUUAGGGAUUGAUGAGUUACGUAUUAAGUGAUUCUGGCAUUGGAUGUUCUCGCAAUAAAAUAGGUAUUGAAAUUCGGGUGAAUUCAAUAAUAGACGUCUGGUAAUAUUUCAAUAUUUUUUUUUUUCUUUUCAAGACCUAUCUGAAAGAGAAUCAAGUACUUAAUUGAUAUUUAAAUAAGGCGAACCGUCCUGUGAACAUCCUUGAUUCGAAACAAAACAAUUAAAAUUAGGUUUGAUUAACUGAAAUGUGUAUUAUCCAUAUAGAAAAUCUUCCAAUUAAAAAUAUCCAUCGACUAAAAGUUGACGAAAGAAUUGAACGAGUUUAAUUUUAGUGAUAACUUCAAUCAUUUCUUAUUAAUAUUCUUAUAGAUAAUAAGAGAGCGGAUAAUAGUCGAGAUGAACAAUCAUUUCAUAAGCAAAACUUCUGUCAUAUGGAUUUUUUAAAUAAAUUUUCAGAAUCUGAAAUCUUAGAAAUCUACUCUUCAUGAAUUUAACAUCAAGACAAAAUUUGGAAGUACAGAAAAUCAAAAUAUGAAACAGAAAUUAAUAUUUCAACCAAGAGGUACUUAAUUUGGUAAUUAAAAAAUAUAUAUUUUUAAUGAUAUACUUAGUUUCUCUACUAAAUGUGUAUAUAUACUAAUAAAAUUCUAUCUGUAUAUUUGUAUAAUUUUUUUUUUAAAAAAAUAAUUUAUAAUUUUUUCGAAGAUUCAACUCGAGUUUUCAAACGACUUUUGAAGAUGUGAUGAUUUUUUGGUGUUACGUAUUUCUUUAUUAAUUAUGAAGCUCGAAUUAUAUAUUUUAGGUUAUAAGCUGAAUGUUUUUGUACAUAUACGAGAUAUUCUCGGCUCCUAUUAAUAAAUAUAUGUAUUUAAUAUCUUGAGUAGUGAAAUCAAUUUAAGAAUAUUCCGAAUCAUCUUAUAAAAAUUUGUAUAUUUUAGUUACAUUUCUAAUUUCAUUUUAUAACAAUUUAAAUAAAUAAAAGAAUUAUAUUUAUAGUUUAUUUAAUAAAAUAAAUAUGAUAUUAAAGAUACACAAUAUUAUCUUUUCAGUGAAUACGAGAAAUUUGAAUAUUUCGAUCAUAACUAAAAAAAAAAAUCAUAAUUUGGGUCUUCAUAUACGAGUAAUAACACAAUUUUUUCGUUGCUGGAGGAGUUGACGAACGGGAGAGUGAGUCUAUUUCCACAACAAGCUUUUAAUUUUCUUACUCGAAACGAGCUUACAAGUAUUCACUAAAUUUUUAUCACAGGUCUUCGUAUAUCGAUUUUCAGUUUUUUUCGCUGACAUAAAAAAAAUGCAGACCUAUUGUUUACUGUAAUUGUGAUUACUGCAGUCAUAAUCUCUUUAACUCGGUAAAAAAAAUUGCUUCUAGUAUCAUACUUACCUCGUUAGUAUUUCUAAGUAGAUUUCGUCCAAUCCUUUCAUAAUUAUAAAAAAAUAAAAAGAUUCACUACGCACGCACCCCUCGAUUGAUCUUUUUAGAUCAUCGUCAAACAAAUAUUAAUGUUUAACGAAAAACAAAUUAGAAAAAUGAUUAAUACUCACAAUUUUUGAAAAAGAGGUCAACAUUCAUGAUUAUAUAAAAAAAAUCUACUACAUAACAUUGAGAAUUUUUGAAAAAAAAAAAAGAAAUUCAUAGGAAAUAGAGGUUGCUCGGUGCAUUCAGGAAUUAAUUUCUUGAUCAACUGGGUACCAAGAAAUGCUCCUAAGCUGCACCAAACAAGAUCCAUCCACCCGUGAGUAUCUUUGAGGGGGUAUGCUGAGGAGACUUGGAAGCUUUGUCUGCGUAAGCUAUACAACAGCUCUCGUGAUGGUUUUCGUUCACAGAUUCGUGCUGUGUGUAUAGUCUUUUCACAUAAUUCAUGAGAUAAGUUUUUAUAUGCAUUAUAAUGUACAUGGUGGAGUGUUAAUCAAUGACUUCAUCCCCAAAUGUGGGUUUCACAUCUUCUAUUGAAUCAGAAGUUCCAAGCCAACACAAACGAGUUGGACUUAGGCCGAGGGGUUAAGUCUUUCCGGUAACAUGUUGAUGGACAUAAUCUCGCUAUUCUUUAUCUCUUGGACUCCACCAAUACCAGCUACAUUCAAGUUUAAUCACGAUGUCUCCUUUGGACAUGUUGAAUGGGCAAGACUUGGGGGUAGUUUGUAAAAUUAUCUGGAGUAAUAUAGUGUUUGCAAGAACGAAGCGCUUACCAUUUUCAAAAUCAGUAGAUGUUGCUGAAUGAGGCAUUACAUUACGACCUUCAAUUACUUUAUCGGUUAGACAUUUAUAAUAUAAUGGUUGAGAGAGAUUCUCAACUAAUGGUCAUUCUGAAACUCAUAAAGGUUGUAAUUUGAUGGCUUCUGCAACACCGAACAAAAUUCUUUCCAACCCGAAUGGGUAUUUCGUGGCUUUAAAACCUUCUAAUUUAUAAGUCUAUCUUUCGUAGAAAGUUUGAUUUUUAUGUUAUCUGAUUGAAUGAUUCUUUCUACUUUUUUUGCUCAAUAAAAAAAUUUAAUUAUAUAUAAAUAUAUUGAAGUAUGCAUGCAUUUUAUUUUAAUUUUUUGAAAUUUUGCAUACUAUUUUGUUUGAAUUUUUUUUUGUAGCAUUUAAUUUUCAUUAUUUUAUAUUAAAAUUGAUAAUUUUUUUUGUAAGUAUAAUACUUAUUAUACGUAUCAAUUAUAUUAAUUUCUUUAACAAUCUCGGCAGCCAUUCCUCUGCUAGUAAAUUCCUUCAUUCACAAAUUUUGUCAAACUUAAUUUGUAUAAUUAAAUUAAUACAAUAUGAUUUUGAUGCAUAAUUAAAAUUUUUAAUUAUAUAUUAAAAUUCUACUUUUCAGUGCAAUUAUUGGUAUAUGUGUGUGUGUGUGUGUGUAUAUACAUAUAUAUAUAUAUAUAUAUAUAUAGAUAUAAGGUAUGUAUAAUUAAAUCAGGAGCAAAAUAUAAAGAGUGAGAUUGGAAAACUGAGAGUGAAUGUUUUCAGAAUUAAUUAUACGUAACAUAUAACUUUAGUUGUAUAAAUAAUGAUUAUCUUAAAUUGAUUAUCCUAAAGUUAGAUGCACUAAUCCAUAUAUGUCUGCCACUUCGGCUAUACUACAAAAAUAUUGAUUUCCCUGUCUUGUUAAAUGAUCAAUCUUUUGCAGCCUUUUUAUGUCUUUUGUCCUCCAAAUUCAGCACAGUAUGUAUACACACACAAACUUGAAUAUUGUGUUAACUAUAAGCAUCUCCCUUUUUAAGUUUCAAUAUAGAGAAUAUGAGUUCGAGAACACCAUUCUUGGAUCAAUUAUGGCGACAACUGCACAGAGCAGAAGUUUGCUUCUCUUUGAUUUUCUUGUCUCUUGCAAUAUAUCUGUUUAAACUCAUGAGUUCUAGACGUACCAAUCUCAACUUACCUCCAUCUCCACCUAGAUUUCCUAUCAUCGGCAACGUUUUCCAGAUGGGGUCCCAUAAUGCUCCUCUACUCUGGCUCUACACCAACUCUUAUUGUAUCAUCAGCAGACAUGGACCGUGAAAUGCUUACGACCCACGAUAUCGUUUUCUCGAAUCGACCCAGAACUUUAGCUGCAAAUAUUUUGUUUUAUGGAUGUACGGACUUAGGUUUUUCUCCCUAUGGUGACUACUGGAGGCAAGUUAGGAAAAUAUGUGUUGUGGAGAUGUUGAGCCUCAACCGUGUGAAUUCUUUUCAGUUGGUGCAGGAUGAAGAGGUUGUAGAAACAAUUGAAAGCAUACGACGUACUUGUCUCUAUGGAACCUUGGUAAAUCUGAGCGAGUUGCUGAGUAUUUUAUCUACUAACAUAGCGUUUAGAUGUGUUAUUGGAAGGAAAGUUAACAAGGUUGGAGAGAAUAUCAAGUUAGGAAAGUUGGUGAAUAAGUUGACCAAGGAAAUUAAUGAGUUUAAUUUCAGUGAUACAUUUUCUUAUUUUUAUUUGGGAUAUUUGAUAGAUGUUUUAACUGGUUUUACUGCACGUCUGAAAGAAACUUCAAGAGAAUUUGAUGCUUUUCUGGAUCAAGUGAUUGAUGAACAUAAGACCUUUGGAAAUAGUAAUGAUGAAGAAGAUAAUCAGAAAAAUAAUUUUGUGCAUAUCCUUCUUCAACUUCGAACAGAGUAACUCACUUGAAUUCGAAUUCACACGGGAGAAAAUAAAAGCAAUACUAUUGGUUGUUCUUUAUACUUUCC
RNAcentral lists this long non-coding RNA (11484 nucleotides) under Carica papaya (papaya). Its description in RNAcentral is "long non-coding RNA (CPAP_LNC006698)". The record is from RNAcentral. Lineage: Eukaryota; Viridiplantae; Streptophyta; Magnoliopsida; Brassicales; Caricaceae.